CGCGAACCUAUAUAAGUAGGUAAUUCAAAUAACAUCUUAGCAGGUACAGAAUUGUGAUCUCGAACAAUAUUAUUUUAUUGUUUUAUAUCGGGGGAUCGUGAAGAUUUUAUCGGAGAGUAUUUGCACUCGGAAGGGCAAAGAUGAAUUUUGAACAAUCGGACAUAGUACGAUAAGGUUGUAUGUCUAAAGGGAAACAGCCCUAAACAAGAAUUAAUAAGGUUCCAAAAUUAUUAUUGAGUGAAAAAAAGGAGGUUUUUAUUGAAUACAAACAGGAAAUAGGCUUAGAAGCGGCCAUUUUUUGAAGAUCUCGUAACAGAGCACUGGGUUAGUAAAUAUUUUUUAUUUAUAUAGGUAAAAACACUUAAAAUUUAACGGAUCUAAAUAAUAUACCGAAAUCUUGUCCAUACAUUCAUAAAUAUAUACUUAUUAAAUACAUAUUUUGUAUGGAGUAGCGGAACAUUGGGUAAAUCUUAGACUUUGUACUUUUCAACAAAUAAUAUGAUAUCCCAAGAGAUAAUGCUGACAUGAGUAACGAUAAAGGAAAUAUAUAUUUCCUCGCCUUAAGCUUAUGGAUUGCAAAUAAUAAAAACGGCCUCUAAAUUAUUUCUGAAAAGAAAAUAAUGAUGAGUAUUGAAUUUAAAGAAAAAACCUUUUUAAAGUAAUAAAGGUUCAGGAAAAUCAAAUUCCAUUUAUAUAUAUAUACCUAGAGACAUAUUUGAGAUUAUACGGGGGAGCAACUACCCUAGUCUGGUUUCGGGUAUGUUGAAAUUAACCGUACCUAAAAACUAGCACAAGUAAGCAAGUU
This 805-nucleotide ribosomal RNA is filed under the name Rhizocarpon viridiatrum. RNAcentral describes it as "partial large subunit ribosomal RNA". It matches the Rfam family "Bacterial large subunit ribosomal RNA", at positions 858 to 1673 of the family's 2925-position model. Lineage: Eukaryota; Fungi; Ascomycota; Lecanoromycetes; Rhizocarpales; Rhizocarpaceae. The record is from RNAcentral.